UUGGGCAGAAAAGCUAGCGAUAGAGGAAAAAAAAAACUCGUCUCGCAUUCUCCCCCACGCACGCGACCUUCUCUCGUUCUGCACGCCAACGAAGCCGCCGCCGCCGCCGCCUCCUCUCCUCCUUUCUCUCAGCGUCGCCAUAUCGGGGAUCGGGGAGCCACCGGUAGGAGAUCAGAGACGCCGCGACCAUGGCAGAAGCAGCAUCCUCGAAUAGAUCCGGCGCUCACUGCUGCCGCCGUCUGUUUCUCUUGUCUAUGGUUGGGGCUUCGGCAAUGGUUGGUGCACGACGAUUAGAGGUGCAGAUCGAAGAUGCGUCCGCCCCCGCCUCCUCUGGUGUCGGCCGCACGCUCGAGAGGGCAGCUGCGUUGCUGGCCGCGGGUUCAGCAGCCAGCGCCUCCUCUCCUCUCCAAAUUCAGCACGCCAUCUAGUGAGUGCAUCGGGGGCUGCCGUGCCCUCAACGACGGUAGAUCACCAGGUUCAGAGAAGGAAUGGCUUCAACCAGGGGAGACAUAGGAUGUGAGUUAGGCCAAGGCAAACUGAUAGGAAGGAGUGAGUAUGGCGAACGGUCUAACUGUCUCAGAGGUUGAUCAACAUGUGAGAAUAUCAAAGAGAACGAAUUGUUGUAUUAGUUUCUAUUUUUCAGUUUUGCUCUUAAUUGGCUGACCCUGAAUCCCCCAUCGAUAUGCAGAACGCUAACAGAAUCCUCUUAGACUCCUUGAUAUUUAAUGUUAGUUGUCAUAACAUAAUAACGGCUGUUUUUUGUGUGUUCAUAUUGUUAGAUAUAAUAUAUUAGAGUUAAGAUAAUUAGGAUCUGGAUCUCUUGAUUAGAACAUCCCUGGAGCAGAAUGGUGAUGACUAACCGUGAUUAUCUUGAUCCAUUAGCAGGAUAGCCCUUGGCUCUACCUUAGCAUCUCCAGCAGUGAGGAGAUCCUCGGGGAGGAAAGGCAGCAAGCAGGGCGAUGUAGCAGACAUGACAGACGCCGCCGGCGGCGACGCGAGGCACCCGGCGUCAUCCAUCACGCGCUGGUCUAGGCGCCGUAAACCUGCGCCCCGUCCGCCUCUGCGUAUGGCGACGACACUACUUCAACGGUGCUGCUGCAGCAUGACGUAGUGAAGUUGACGCGCAUGGCGUGGUAGCCAUGCUCGUAGGCGUGCAUGAUGUAUGUGCUGCACGCCUGCACGGCAACACCUCCAAUCUGAAGCGGGAUAGCCCUUGGCUAUACCUUAGCAUCUCCAGCAGUGAGGAGAUCCUCGGGGAGGAAAGGCAGCAAGCAGGGCGAUGUAGCAGACAUGACGGACGCCGCCGGCGGCGACGCGAGGCACCCGGCGUCAUCCAUCACGCGCUGGUCUAGGCGCCGUAAACCUCUGGUCCAUGUCCCCUUCGCACCACUUAUAAAAUGAGGAGGUCGUACCCCUUGGGGUGAGACACAUGUACGGGUAAACACCCUAGUUACUCCUAACAGCCGAUCCUGAAAAGGUGCUUAAGGGGAUCAGAACCAAAAGUUGGGUCAAUGCCCCCGAUCAGGGCAUGUACCGGGGAUGCAAGCCCUCCCCUUCUUUCUCUCAGUUUGUUGUAACCGUAGAUCAAUUCCAACACAUAUAUGUUUUUAUAUAUUUUUAAAUAAAAUAAGUGACUUGUUUCUUAAUGACCAAAUACUGCAUCACUGAAUUUGUGUAAAUGGAAUUCAUCAUCUUGACAAGUAUCUAAGACAGUUGAUAUAUGUUAGAUAUCUUGAAUCCAGUAAGAGUUAAAACCCAUUAUGUUCCUUACUGCUGUAGCAGAUUGGAUUGAGCAGGGUGCCCUUCUGCUCUAAAGAUUGGAUUAGUGGAGGUAUUUAGUUUUAUGAUGGUCAGGUCAAUCAAAAUCACAUGGUCUUUUUUUUAAGUUGAGGAAAAAAAGACACCGGAACAGGCUAGAAGGUGGGCGACGCCGCGAGCUCUCCUCCUGAAGAAGCCACUGCCCGCUGCAGUCAUUGACACCUCCUCCGCCGCAGGAGGCCGUGGGCGAGAGGAAGGCGGCGUCGUCAUCUGCAGAAGGACCAUCGCCCUCCUUGUCAAGUGCAUACCUCUGCUGUUCUUCCCUGGGGUGUGAGGAUCAAGUGAAGGUGGAGCAUGGCUAGCCUGCUUGUUUAGCACAGUCCAGUAUUCUUUGGUUUUUCUUUGCAGUUCAUGUUUUGGCUUGAAUAAUUUCAAAAUCGAGCAGGGAUUGUUUGUUUUUUUCUGCUGAUGGUUUAAUUGUCAAACUACAGGUGCAGAGGAGAGGGAGAAUUUUCAUAUCAAAUACUCAGGCUGGACAAUGGAGUGAAGCAUAUGAGGUGCCUUAUCCCAUCAAUCUCGUUGCAUUCCAACCAAUAUUUCUUCUGUCCUAAAUCACGCGGAAGGUCGCGAUGGGUUGUGUUUUUUACCCAAUGUCAAUGAUGCAACUACUGGAUUAAGGAUACUGGGACUACACAUUGGUUCUGGUAGCUAAUAAGUUUGUAUGAAGUAAUUUAGGAGGCUACAUAAUUUAAGUUCUAUGCAAUUGUGGGUGUACAUCCUAAUGUCCCGACGAACUCUUUCUCGCUGUUUAGGGUAGAAUGUAACACUGAAUAUUAUCUGAGCUUUUAGUUCGUCUCAGUUUACUUCUAAUGUCAUGAACUGAUGAUUUGUCCGAGCUUGUAGUUUUCUUGUUAUGCUUAUUAUUUUUAUCUCGAUACAUGAGUGGAAAUUGAAUCAAAUAGUAAAGCUAUUACUCAAAUUGUCCUAAGAAUUUAAACACUGAAGCCUCCUAAUAUUCUGAAAUUGUGCUUUCUCUUUCCUCUUCUUAUUUUGAAAGUAAUUUGCUAGACGUUUUAUACCAUGAAUUCUGUAGCACAAUUGGAGCUAUCUUUAUCACAUUGUAAUGACACAAUCUCAUCAGUUUAACUGGAUGAGUCUGCGUGAUUUUGUAUGUGGAACUACUACUCCCCGCAGUUCCCGAUCUCACGAUCAUCCCAUUCUAGCCAACUGCUCUUCUGUAGUAGUUAAGAACAUGCACCGAGGAAGCGCGAUCUGUUUUGAUACUUUGUGAGCAAUAACGCCUGCUCUUCUAUUGCAGUUAUUGUGACGGUGUGUUGAUCGUGAGGAACAAUGGUAAU
Molecule: long non-coding RNA, 3116 nt
Organism: Triticum aestivum (bread wheat)
Lineage: Eukaryota; Viridiplantae; Streptophyta; Magnoliopsida; Poales; Poaceae
Exons: 6
Source: RefSeq, a predicted model, not a curated record